UAGACGGUAACUCGUUACAUUAUCAAAAUAUGCAGACUAACAAUUUAUAUUUUGUAAAUUAAAAAAUUGAAGGAACGGAAGUGCAACAAUAAAAAUUAAUAUACUUUGAUUUCUGAAAAAACCAAAGGGACUUGAAGCCAUAUCUUUCUGAAACCUAAAGAAACAAUCAAAACAUAGCAGUGUAGUAUCAGUAUCACAAGUGGAGUAUGGCGAGGGUAGAAUGUACACAACCUUACCUCUACCUUAUAGAGAAAGUGUAGAACUCAUCAUGAGCUAACUCUAACUCUCAAUAGCACUUUCAUGAACAACGAAAAUAUUCUUACAAAGUAAUACAAACGCAUUAAAAACAGAAUUAACAAUAAACUAAAUUAAGAAAAACUACUAAAGACUAUAGAACAACCAAGAAAUAAUAUAAUACUUAAAAAACUUGAUUGUCAUGAAGCACUCAUAUCUCUUAAAGAAAAAGGGAAGGAAGAAAAGUGUUAGAUUUAGAAGCAUACCUAGGAUUUCUGUGAGGUUGUUUGAACAAAAAAUGAAGUGCAAACAUUCACGGAAGAAGAAAAAAACUGUCGAGGUUAUAGAAGCAUACA
RNAcentral lists this long non-coding RNA (590 nucleotides) under Capsicum annuum. RNAcentral's name for it is "long non-coding RNA (CANN_LNC004150)". Lineage: Eukaryota; Viridiplantae; Streptophyta; Magnoliopsida; Solanales; Solanaceae. The record is from RNAcentral.